GCCAAUUUGGUCUAGUGGUCAAGGCACAUGGCUAAAACCAGGAGACGGUGGGUUCUAGCCCCACUUUAGGCA
This 72-nucleotide transfer RNA is filed under the name Ophiophagus hannah (king cobra). It matches the Rfam family "tRNA". Rfam says of the family: Transfer RNA (tRNA) molecules are approximately 80 nucleotides in length. Their secondary structure includes four short double-helical elements and three loops (D, anti-codon, and T loops). Further hydrogen bonds mediate the characteristic L-shaped molecular structure. tRNAs have two regions of fundamental functional importance: the anti-codon, which is responsible for specific mRNA codon recognition, and the 3' end, to which the tRNAs corresponding amino acid is attached (by aminoacyl-tRNA synthetases). tRNAs cope with the degeneracy of the genetic code in two manners: having more than one tRNA (with a specific anti-codon) for a particular amino acid; and 'wobble' base-pairing, i.e. permitting non-standard base-pairing at the 3rd anti-codon position. The record is from Rfam by way of RNAcentral. Lineage: Eukaryota; Metazoa; Chordata; Lepidosauria; Squamata; Elapidae.